Molecule: ribosomal RNA, 493 nt
Filed under: Phyllopidea picta
Lineage: Eukaryota; Metazoa; Arthropoda; Insecta; Hemiptera; Miridae
Description: partial 16S ribosomal RNA
Rfam family: Bacterial large subunit ribosomal RNA
Source: RNAcentral
UUGGUCUGCCCAAUGAUUAUUUUAAUGGCUGCAGUAUUUUGACUGUACAAAGGUAGCAUAAUCAUUUGUCUUUUAAUUGAAGUCUGGUAUGAAUGGCUGGAUGAAAAAUUUACUUUCUUUAUUUUAAAAAUUAAAUUUGAUUUUUAAGUCAAAAAGCUUAAGUAUAUUUAUAGGACGAGAAGACCCUAUAGAACUUUACUUUUGUUAGUUUAAUUUUUAUUUGAAUAUAAUUUUUAAUUAAACUAAUAAAAGUUUUAUUGGGGUGAUAAAAAAAAUUUUAUAACUUUUUUUAUUUUGGUCACUUAUUUGUGUUUUAUUGAUCCUUUAUUAUGGAAGAAAGAUUAAGUUACCUUAGGGAUAACAGCGUUAUUAUUUUAGAGAGUUCAUAUUGAUAAAAUAGUUUGCGACCUCGAUGUUGGAUUAAAAUUAGUGUCAGGUGUAGAAUAUUGAUUACUGGGUCUGUUCGACCUUUAAUUUUUUACAUGAUCUGAGU